RNAcentral lists this unclassified non-coding RNA (1358 nucleotides) under uncultured Neocallimastigales. Its description in RNAcentral is "partial contains small subunit ribosomal RNA, internal transcribed spacer 1, 5.8S ribosomal RNA, internal transcribed spacer 2, and large subunit ribosomal RNA". The stretch from base 619 to 1358 matches the Rfam family "Eukaryotic large subunit ribosomal RNA", at positions 1 to 630 of the family's 3401-position model. Lineage: Eukaryota; Fungi; Neocallimastigomycota; Neocallimastigomycetes; Neocallimastigales. The record is from RNAcentral.
GAAGUAAAGUCGUACAAGGUUUCCGUAGGUGAACCGCGGAAGGAUCAUUAAUAAAUUUUUUAGGUGAAAUCGAACCUAAAAUAUAGUAUCCACCCUUUGUGAAUUGUUGUUUGAAAUAAUUUUUAAAAAAUUAUUUAAGUUUUGUCUAUCCUGAUUGUAAGAGAAGUAAUUCUUGAAGCUUAGGAAUAGGCUUAUCUAUAAAUAAUGAUUUAAGACUUUUUUAAUUAAACUUUGUAUUCAUUUGUCUAAAUUAUUUUAUAAUUAAAAACAACUUUGACAAUGGAUCUCUUGUUCUCGCACGAUGAAGAACGCAGCAAAAUGCGAUAAGUAAUGUGAAUUGCAGAAUACGUGAAUCACAAAUCUUCGAACGCAUAUUGCACUUUUUUAGUUUACUAAAAAGUAUGUCUGUUUGAGUAUCAGUAAAAUAUUCUCAUAAAAAUUUAUUUUUUAUGGUUUUGAGUGUUUACAACGAUACAAGUUGUUCACUUAAAUUGACUUUAAAUUGCCUAUUAUUAGUCAAUUUUUAAAUUGCAUAAAAUUUUCCCGUAAAAAGGAUAACUAUCAAUUUAAAAUUAACUGAUAUUAAAAGGCCUUGAUAAAAGGAAUUAUUAAAUAACUUGAUCUCAAAUCAGAUAAGAGUACCGCUGAACUAAGCAUAUCAUAAGCGGAGGAAAGAAACUAACAGGAUCCCUAGUAACGGCGAGUGAAGCGGAAGAGCUCAAAUUUGAAAUCUUCAAGGUUGACCUUGACGAAUUGUAGUUUAAAGAAGUGUUUUCGGUUAGGAGUGGUAAAGUUCUUUGAAUAGGACAUCAUAGAGGGUGAGAUCCCGUAUUGACAUUCUUUCAGCUUGUGAUACACUUCAAAGAGUCGGAUUGUUUGGGAAUGCAGUCCAAAAUGGUGUAAAUUUCAUCUAAAGCUAAAUAUUGGCGAGAGACGAUAGCGAACAAGUACCGUGAGGGAAAGACGAAAAGAACUUUGAAAAGAGAGUAAACAGUACGUGAAAUUGUCAAAAGGAAGCGUUGACACCAGUGUUGUUUUCCGAAAAUCAAUUAAAAAUAAUUCAUGCCAGGUUGUAUUGACUUAUCAGCUUGCAAUUGGUUUGGGUUUCUUUUUGAUGCACUUUUCGGUUAACAAGUCAACAUCAAUUCCUUUGCUGUAAAAGGCAGGAGGAAGGUGCUUCAAUUCGGUUGAAGUGUUUAUAGCCCUCUGUCUCUGCAGUCGGGGAGAUUGAGGUCUGCGCGUAGAUCUUCGGGGUAGAUACAUUCGUGCUAAGUUAUAGCCUUUUAUAGACAACUUGUUGACUAUGAUCGGUCAUGUAAUUACUCGCGAGUGCUAUUUACUACGCUUAGGAUGUUGAA